GUCAGCCGCCGCGGGAACACCGGCGGCCCGAGUGGUGAUCGUGAUUAUUGGGUCUAAAGGGUCCGUAGCCGGUUUGGUCAGUCCUCCGGGAAAUCUGAUAGCUCAACUAUUAGGCUUUCGGGGGAUACUGCCAGACUUGGAACCGGGAGAGGUAAGAGGUACUACAGGGGUAGGAGUGAAAUCUUUGUAAUCCCUGUGGGACCACCUGUGGCGAAGGCGUCUUACCAGAACGGGUUCGACGGUGAGGGACGAAAGCUGGGGGCACGAACCGGAUUAGAUACCCGGGUAGUCCCAGCCGUAAACGAUGCUCGCUAGGUGUCAGGCAUGGCGCGACCGUGUCUGGUGCCGCAGGGAAGCCGUGAAGCGAGCCACCUGGGAAGUACGGCCGCAAGGCUGAAACUUAAAGGAAUUGGCGGGGGAGCACAACAACGGGUGGAGCCCUGCGGUUUAAUUGGACUCAACGCCGGACAACUCACCGGGGGCGACAGCAAUAUGUAGGCCAAGCUGAAGACUUUGCCUGAAUCGCUGAGGAGUGGUGCAUGG
Molecule: ribosomal RNA, 543 nt
Filed under: uncultured archaeon
Lineage: Archaea
Description: bacterial SSU rRNA
Rfam family: Archaeal small subunit ribosomal RNA
Source: RNAcentral